CACUUUUCAAAUGCAUGAGAAAGGUGAACCUGCCGAAUCUGGUAAAUUCUUCAAAUACCAGUCUAGUUCAUGUAUUUGCACCGCCAUACGGACACCGUCUUGAUUGCAAUUUGUCGUUAGUCCGUCAUAAUGACCCAGUAAAAGUCCAGUACCAUCAUCAUUAUGGUACAAGUGAAGGAAUUAAAGUAUCCUUAAAGUGUAGUCGGUGCAAAAUGUUUUAUGGUUAUUCAAAGUAUGGCAACCCUGAAACUGGAUGGAAAUUGUAUCCUGAAGCCAGAACGUCAGUAGAAGCAUCUGAUGUGUGUCUUGUGGAGAGAUCGCUACUAAAAUGGCAAAUAUCUUUAGCGUAAGUUUAAUAUGGGUUAUGAUUUUCAGUUUUGCACGAAUACUGACUGCAUCCACGAUUUUUUUUGCAUCAAUACCGGCUGUGAAUGAUAACAUGGCAUGUUAUUGCAUGUUUGAAACUUCAGUAAUUUCUUACUCGCGGAAAUGAUACUUGUUUGUAACUUUAGUUCUCUUUUUUUCUACGGUGCCUCAAUUAAAAUAGAAAUCAUAGUUGGGUG
Non-coding RNA from Paramuricea clavata, 563 nucleotides. The record is from the annotation of a GenBank genome assembly. NCBI's taxonomy places the organism in Eukaryota, Metazoa, Cnidaria, Anthozoa, Malacalcyonacea, Plexauridae.